UACAGAGGGUGCAAGCGUUAAUCGGAAUUACUGGGCGUAAAGCGUGCGUAGACGGUAGCGUAAGUCGGGUGUGAAAGCCCCGGGCUCAACCUGGGAAUUGCAUUCGAGACUGCUCUGCUAGGGUGCGGAAGAGGGAAGCGGGAAUUUCCGGGUGUAGCGGUGAAAUGACGUAGAUAUCGGAAGGAACACCAGUGGCGAAAGCGGCUUCCUGGUCCAGCACCGACGUCAGGCACGAAAGCGUGGGGAGCAAACAGG
Molecule: ribosomal RNA, 255 nt
Filed under: uncultured bacterium
Lineage: Bacteria
Description: partial 16S ribosomal RNA
Rfam family: Bacterial small subunit ribosomal RNA
Source: RNAcentral